GGAUGCGAUCAUACCAGCACUAAAGCACCGGAUCCCAUCAGAACUCCAAAGUUAAGCGUGCUUGGAAGUCCUCGUGUUGCAUUCC
RNAcentral lists this ribosomal RNA (85 nucleotides) under Triticum dicoccoides. The record is from RNAcentral. Lineage: Eukaryota; Viridiplantae; Streptophyta; Magnoliopsida; Poales; Poaceae.